Non-coding RNA from Triticum aestivum (bread wheat), 139 nucleotides. Lineage: Eukaryota; Viridiplantae; Streptophyta; Magnoliopsida; Poales; Poaceae. The record is from Rfam.
CCCAUCCAGGACGAUGAGCUCAUCUCCUACCUGCUGCAUGGGCUGGAUAUGGACUACCAGCCUCUCGUCUCCGCCCUCGAUGGCCGUGUCACGCCAGUCUCCCUCGACGAGCUGUACUCCAUGCUGAGCAACUUUGAUC